RNAcentral lists this transfer RNA (62 nucleotides) under Cerion tridentatum costellata. Its description in RNAcentral is "tRNA-His". The record is from RNAcentral. Lineage: Eukaryota; Metazoa; Mollusca; Gastropoda; Stylommatophora; Cerionidae.
GCUAGAAUAAGUUAAUAAAACUGUAGGCUUGUGGCGCCUAAAAUUCGCGUAGAUUCUAGCAC